RNAcentral lists this ribosomal RNA (714 nucleotides) under uncultured organism. RNAcentral's name for it is "bacterial SSU rRNA". It matches the Rfam family "Bacterial small subunit ribosomal RNA", at positions 93 to 827 of the family's 1533-position model. The record is from RNAcentral.
CAGCGGCAGACGGGUGAGUAACACGUAGGUGAUCUACCCCAGAGACGGGGAUAACGGGUGGAAACAUCCGCUAAUACCGGAUAGACUUGUUCGGUCAAAGGGACAAGGAAAGGCUCCGGCGCUCUGGGAGGAGCCUGCGGCCCAUCAGCUAGUUGGCGGGGUAACGGCCCACCAAGGCAAAGACGGGUAGGGGGUGUGAGAGCAUGGCCCCCCACAAUGGGACUGGAACACGGCCCAUACUCCUACGGGAGGCAGCAGCAGGGAAUAUUGCACAAUGGACGGAAGUCUGAUGCAGCGACGCCGCGUGGAUGAAGAAGGCCCUCGGGUUGUAAAAUCCUUUACAGGGGGAAGAGGAAGGACGGUACCCCUGGAACAAGUGUCGGCUAACUACGUGCCAGCAGCCGCGGUAAGACGUAGGACACAAGCGUUAUCCGGAUUUACUGGGCGUAAAGCGUCUGCAGGCGGACAGGUAAGUUGGGCGUGAAAGCUCCGGGCCCAACCCGGAGAGGUCGUUCAAUACUGCGUGUCUAGAGGGUGUCCGAGGGGAGUGGAAUUUCCGGAGUAGCGGUAAAAUGCGCAGAGAUCGGAAAGAACACCAAUGGCGAAGGCAGCUCCCUGGGGCAACCCUGACGCUAAGAGACGAAAGCUAGGGGAGCGAACAGGAUUAGAGACCCUGGUAGUCCUAGCCCUAAACGAUGGAUGCUGGAUGUGGGG